Molecule: ribosomal RNA, 504 nt
Filed under: uncultured bacterium
Lineage: Bacteria
Description: partial 16S ribosomal RNA
Rfam family: Bacterial small subunit ribosomal RNA
Source: RNAcentral
GACGAACGCUGGCGGCGUGCUUAACACAUGCAAGUCGAACGGCAGCAUGGAGAGCUUGCUCUCUGAUGGCGAGUGGCGAACGGGUGAGUAAAGCAUCGGAACGUACCGUGUAGUGGGGGAUAACGUAGCGAAAGUUACGCUAAUACCGCAUACGCACUGAGGUGGAAAGCAGGGGAUCGCAAGACCUUGCGCUAUACGAGCGGCCGAUGUCAGAUUAGCUAGUUGGUAGGGUAAAGGCCUACCAAGGCGACGAUCUGUAGCGGGUCUGAGAGGAUGAUCCGCCACACUGGGACUGAGACACGGCCCAGACUCCUACGGGAGGCAGCAGUGGGGAAUUUUGGACAAUGGGGGCAACCCUGAUCCAGCCAUGCCGCGUGAGUGAAGAAGGCCUUCGGGUUGUAAAGCUCUUUCGGCCGGGAAGAAAUCGCACAGGCUAAUACUCUGUGUGGAUGACGGUACCGGCAUAAGAAGCACCGGCUAACUACGUGCCAGCCGCCGCGGUAA